AGAGUUUGAUCCUGGCUCAGGAUGAACGCUUUUGGCGUGCUUAACACAUGCAAGUUGAACGGGAAUGCCACGCUGAUGCGAUUUCGGUCAAAUCAUGUGGUAUUCGAGUGGCGGACGGGUGAGUAACGCGUGGGUAACCUGCCUUACCCCGUGGGGAUAACACUCUGUAAACUGGUGCUAAUACCGCAUAAGCCCACAGGGUCCCAUGGCCCGGUGUGAAAAACUCCGGGUGGUGUAAGAUAGACCCGCGUCUGAUUAGCUUGUUGGCGGGGUAGGGGCCCACCAAGGCGACGAUCAGUAGCCGGCCUGAGAGGGUGGACGGCCACAUUGGGACUGAGACACGGCCCAAACUCCUACGGGAGGCAGCAGUGGGGGAUAUUGGACAAUGGGGGAAACCCUGAUCCAGCGACGCCGCGUGAGUGAAGAAGUAUUUCGGUAUGUAAAGCUCUGUCAGCAGGGAAGAAAGAAAUGACGGUACCUGACCAAGAAGCCCCGGCUAACUACGUGCCAGCAGCCGCGGUAAUACGUAGGGGGCAAGCGUUAUCCGGAAUUACUGGGUGUAAAGGGAGCGUAGACGGUGAUGCAAGUCUGGAGUGAAAGGCGGGGGCCCAACCCCCGGACUGCUCUGGAAACUGUGUAACUUGAGUGCAGGAGAGGUAAGCGGAAUUCCUAGUGUAGCGGUGAAAUGCGUAGAUAUUAGGAGGAACACCAGUGGCGAAGGCGGCUUACUGGACUGUAACUGACGUUGAGGCUCGAAAGCGUGGGGAGCAAACAGGAUUAGAUACCCUGGUAGUCCACGCCGUAAACGAU
Molecule: ribosomal RNA, 810 nt
Filed under: uncultured bacterium
Lineage: Bacteria
Description: bacterial SSU rRNA
Rfam family: Bacterial small subunit ribosomal RNA
Source: RNAcentral